RNAcentral lists this long non-coding RNA (2394 nucleotides) under Ornithorhynchus anatinus (platypus). RNAcentral's name for it is "lncRNA (ENSOANG00000044808.1)". Lineage: Eukaryota; Metazoa; Chordata; Mammalia; Monotremata; Ornithorhynchidae. The record is from RNAcentral.
UAUUCUAAGGAAGCCCUUGACCCGACAAUCCAAACUUGUGAUGUCACAUUGCUCUCAGUCUGCUAGUUGGCAACCAGCGCUUGAAAACAUCUGAUGCAGUGGGGUGGAUCCAGUCUGCUGCUUUUGCCAAGAAGGACCAACAAGAAAACUCAGCUCUGCCCUCAGGUGGUCGGGGUGCAGCUACGGAGUGCUACGGGUUUAAAAACAUCUGAGGAUGAGAGUAAAGACAAGGACUUUAGCAACAUUCUUGCAUGGAACUUGACCGGGAAAGAACUCGAAAGCCACAUACCAUACAUUUCAAUUUACCAGCAUGAUUUCAACCAACAGAAAAGCCCCGUACGUAGGCAGUUUUUCCUUCAAAACCACAAUUCACAAGAGGAAGCGAAGAAGUUUCAACAAGAAGUUUCAACAAACACCACCCAGUACAUAUCAACAACAUUUCUGCAACCUCAUAAGAACUACUAUCUGAGCAACACUAAGGAGUCAGAAGGUGUCAUGAAGCUGCCCACUGAAGGCCCUUCAAACAUCACAGAAAUUUUUCAAAGUCCUUCAAAAAGGCAAGAUAGAAGUCCAUCUCAAUGCAAUUUACCAUAGACGACUGUCUAACUUGGCCGGCAUCGUUAAAAUAAGCCAAUCUCAAUGCUGCAAUUUUGGCAAAAGCCUAGCUUGGGUUUAAUUUCCAAUAAUGAAAACAUUUUUUUUGGUUCUGCAGGAUGAAGGUUCAAACCACUGUUACCUGGCACUAAAGAGAGUUUUGACUAUCUGGCUGAGAUUCUUUCCCUUAGCUCAGGUCGAUGUGGCCAUCACCUCUUUAUCCAAGGUAAUGGACGGCACAGUACCAACCAAAUUUACAAACAUAAGAGUUGCAGCUAUUAUCACACAAUGGUCUCCAAAAGAAUACUGCUCCACUCUUUAGGCCUAAAUUUCUUUUUGUCCAAGUCAAGGGAGCACAGACAGAAAAGCACAGAAGAGGACAUCUUCAAUCGGUCAGUCAAUCGUACUUAUUAAGCGCUUACUAUGUGCAGAACGCUGUACUAAGUGCUCGGAAGAGUAUACUAUAACUAUAAACAGACCCAUUCCCUGCCCAUGACGGUUACAGUCUGGUGUGGGGGGGGGAUGGACAGGCAUUAAAAUAAGUAAAUAAAUAAAAUGCAUAUAUAUUGAUAUAGAUGAAUUACAGAUAUAAUAAAUACAUUGGAUAUAAUACAUUAGAGAUAUUUAUUUAUUUAUUGAGUGUUUAUUGUGUGCAGAGCACUGUACUAAGUGCUUGGGAGAGUAUAUAACAGAGUUGGUAGGCAUGUUCCCUGCCCACAAGGAGCUUACAGUCUAGAGGGGGAGACGGACAUUAAUAUAAAUAAAUUACACAUAGGUAAAUAAGUGCUGUGGGGCUGAGGGUGCAAGUCCAAGUGCAAUGGCAACGCAGAAGGGAGUGAGAAGAGGAACUGAGAGCUUAGAUGGGAAAGGCCAGUCUUCUCCUGUGAUUCUUAAUUUUAGAAACAUCAGAUUCACACAACUAUGAUUAAAUAGGAACAAGAUAGACAGUUGCAGAAGUGACACCUUCUAGAGAAGCAGCAUGGCUCAGUGGAAAGAGCAUGGGCUGGGGAGUCAGAGAUCAUGGGUUCAAAUCCCGGCUCUGCCGCUUGUCAGCUGUGUGACUUUGGACAAGACACUUCACUUCUCUGGGCCUCAGUUGUCUCAUCUGUAAAAUAGGCAUUAAGACUGUGAGCCCCACCUGGGACAAUCUGAUCACCUUUCAUCAACCCCAGCGCUUAGAACAGUGCUUUGCACAUAGUAAGCGCUUAACAGAUGUGAUCAUCAUUAUUAUUAUUACAUAUAGCCAGGCUAAGCUCAUCACUACACUGUAAACUUGAGGGCAGGGUCCAUGACUACCAACCUUAUUGGUACAACUCUAGAUUGUGAGCCCCACAAGGGACACCUGUGUAUUCUCUCCCGGCAUUUACUUCAGUGCUCUGUGUACAACAGUUAAUACUAUUACCACUAAUACUAUUUUUUUAAAGGUAUUUCAUCCAAUCAUAUUUGUUGAGCGCUUACUAUGUGCAGAGCCCUGUGCUAAGGGCUUGGGAGAGUACAAUAUAACAACAGACACAUUUUGUUCUGCUAUAGAUGUGUCCUGCUCCACAUUCUGCUAUAGGUGUGCUGAGUUUGAAGUGCCGGCAGGAUAGCCAACUGGAGAUGUCUUGGAGGCAAAAGGAGAUGCAGCAUUGCAAGUCAGAAGAGGGGGCUAGAGAUAGAGUUAGAUAUUGUCCACAGACACAGUCUUACAGAGACUGUAAGGCUCUAGACUACUAAAUAGACUACGGUCUAUUUGUUAAGCCCUUACUUUGUGCCUGGCUCUGUUCUAAGCGCUGGGGUAGAUAUUAGUUUAUUGGGUUG